GAGAGAUCAGCUUUUGGUGCUGUGUUCAUUGAACUAAGUGUUAACUCUGGUCUGGUUUGAAUGCAUUCGUGUUAGUUGGUGGUUGAAUGUUGUCUUGUGUAACUUUUAUGUUUGUGUUUUCAUUCCCUGGAGCUUGAGAUCUGGGAAUGUUUUGAAUUUCCUUUGUAUUUUGGGAAUCCAUGGUGAUUUGGAUGUGUGUCUGUGUCAGUAUGGAGCAUGUAUGGUUAAUGUAAUAUCCUUUUAAGGAACUAUCAGUGAUAGUUUCAAACAAAAAUCUGUGAUAAAAUGUUGAUUUUUAAGAAUUGGAUUGUAAAGCUUGGUAAAAAUGUGUCUCUUGGAAUGGAAAAUUAUCACAUUUGGAAUUUCAUUUUCUAACCAGAGAGAACUUUCAAAUAUUGUUUUAACACAUAUGUGAAUCUUUAAUUCCAGAUCAUAAGAUUUGCUCAUGGAGGAAGAGUGACAGUCGACGUAAUUAUGUCCAGGAGUUUUCACCCGACCCCUUAAACCACUUGAAGAGGAAUGGAUGGAUACUUUUUGUCUUUCAGAUAAGCAUACAAAUUUCUGAAUAUGCCUGCAGACGCAGUGAUGGAUAAGGCAGUCUCAACCUAUCAAGCCAUUUGUUAACAACAUUUGAAGAACUUCUGUGAAAGCAUUCAGGAAUUUAAAUAUAUAAGAAUUGUCAGUGACUUUGGGGCUGUAAACAGAAUUUUGAAUUUGAAUGCAUUCAUGUAAAGACAUAUCAAAUAUCUAGAAUGAACUAUAAAAAAGGAAAAAAAAAAAUGGGUCAUCCUGUAACAAAUUAGGCCCUUAUAGAAGCCUCAACUCUAUCUGUAGAGGCAGUAAUAAAAAUUAAAGCACUUCA
This is a long non-coding RNA of Rhincodon typus (whale shark), 862 nucleotides long. RefSeq lists it as uncharacterized. The transcript is spliced from 2 exons. NCBI's taxonomy places the organism in Eukaryota, Metazoa, Chordata, Chondrichthyes, Orectolobiformes, Rhincodontidae. The record is from RefSeq and is a predicted model, not a curated record.